Molecule: ribosomal RNA, 460 nt
Filed under: uncultured bacterium
Lineage: Bacteria
Description: partial 16S ribosomal RNA
Rfam family: Bacterial small subunit ribosomal RNA
Source: RNAcentral
CCUACGGGAGGCAGCAGUGAGGAAUAUUGGUCAAUGGACGAGAGUCUGAACCAGCCAAGUAGCGUGAAGGAUGACUGCCCUAUGGGUUGUAAACUUCUUUUAUAUGGGAAUAAAAUGUUCCACGUGUGGGAUUUUGUAUGUACCAUAUGAAUAAGGAUCGGCUAACUCCGUGCCAGCAGCCGCGGUAAUACGGAGGGUCCGAGCGUUAUCCGGAUUUAUUGGGUUUAAAGGGAGCGUAGGUGGAUUGUUAAGUCAGUUGUGAAAGUUUGCGGCUCAACCGGAAAAUUGCAGUUGAAACUGGCAGUCUUGAGUACAGUAGAGGUGGGCGGAAUUCGUGGUGUAGCGGUGAAAUGCUUAGAUAUCACGAAGAACUCCGAUUGCGAAGGCAGUUCACUGGACUGCAACUGACACUGAGGCUCGAAAGUGUGGGUAUCAAACAGGAUUAGAUACCCCUGUAGUC